RNAcentral lists this long non-coding RNA (407 nucleotides) under Mus spretus (western wild mouse). RNAcentral's name for it is "lncRNA (ENSMSPG00010042372.1)". The record is from RNAcentral. Lineage: Eukaryota; Metazoa; Chordata; Mammalia; Rodentia; Muridae.
AAGGCCUAUUCACUUGUGGUUCCUUCUUCCUGAAAUAAGGAAUGCUCCAGAGAGGAGCACAAAAAGGGGGUUACAGACAGGAGUGUGGGUGCUCCCGCCCAAAGGCUCCACAGGAGUCAUUGCGUUCCCACAGUUGCAGAAUGGAGGCCUCACCUAAGUCUCGCCAGCAACGCACUCUAGCCUUGCUCUGCACAGCAGUCAGGGCAGAACUGCACAAGUGUGGCAUGGAAUGACUAGAUACUCAGAUGAUGUACAGACCUUCAGAGAAAUCUGGACUGAUACCCCGAGUGCUGAGACCAUGAAGACAGGACACUUUUGGGGGACAGGAUGUUCUCACUGUACUCCUUAAAACUUUUCAGCCUGCCCUCUAGAGAUCAAAUCUUCAAUAAACAUUUACCACAGAGAAA